UCUAAAUCCACUUGUCCUGCCUUGUCGCCAUCUCCCGGUUUCACGCUGAUUCGUUACACCACAACUUAUGACGGAGUUCCCCAUCUCCACGUCUUUGCUGCGAAGCUCAUGUCGGGACAAGAACUCGACGAUGCCGGCACCGAUGGAGUCCCCCAGGACGUUAGUGGUGGUUCGCAAGCGGUCCCUGUAUAUCCCGAAGAGGAAAAAGAGAGGAUAAAAAAAGUGCGGGAGAAACCUGUGAAGCCAAGGAUGAGGAAGCUACUCACAGAAACCAAUCGACUGCAAUGAUGAGAGUGAUGUCGUCAGUCGGAAGUCCAACAGAGGUCAGCACAAUCACCAUGGUGACCAGGCCUGCCUGAGGGAUGCCAGCAGCUCCGAUGCUAGCUGCUGUUGCUGUGAUACUUGUUUGAAGAUAAACAAAGAAGAAGUUCUGUUAGACACCAAGCAAAUCUUUUAAAUUUUUAUGCCUAAUACAACCCUUGAGUGACAUGAUA
Long non-coding RNA from Solea senegalensis (Senegalese sole), 494 nucleotides. RefSeq lists it as uncharacterized. Lineage: Eukaryota; Metazoa; Chordata; Actinopteri; Pleuronectiformes; Soleidae. The transcript is spliced from 3 exons. The record is from RefSeq and is a predicted model, not a curated record.